ACUUCCGCUCCUCGCAGCGGAGCCGGUCCCCUAGGGCUCGGGUCGCACGGAGCUGACCCCUAACGAAAUGGGGCCGCGCCAAGGGCGGUGGUGGCUGCUGCUCUGGCUGCCGCCCCUGGCCACACUGCCCGUGCGCGGGGAGGCGGCGGCGGCAGCGUUAUCAGUUCGUAGGUGUAAAGCUUUGAAGGAAAAAGAUUUAAUUAGAACGUCUGAGUCAGACUGUUACUGCUACAAUCAAAAUUCCCAAGUGGAGUGGAAAUACAUAUGGUCAACUAUGCAGGUGAAAAUUACCAGUCCAGGCCUGUUCAGAAUUGUAUAUAUCGCAGAAAGACAUAAUUGCCAAUAUCCAGAAAACAUUCUAUCUUUUAUCAAAUGUGUGAUUCAUAACUUUUGGAUACCAAAGGAAUCUAACGAAAUAACCAUAAUCAUCAAUCCAUACAGGGAGACUGUGUGCUUCUCUGUGGAGCCUGUCAAGAAGAUAUUUAACUAUAUGAUACAUGUGAAUCGAAACAUCAUGGAUUUCAAACUCUUCCUUGUGUUUGUGGCAGGAGUUUUUCUUUUCUUUUAUGCAAGGACCCUGAGUCAAAGCCCUACUUUCUAUUACUCCUCGGGAACUGUGCUAGGUGUUCUAAUGACAUUAGUCUUUGUCUUGCUGUUGGUGAAAAGAUUCAUUCCGAAGUAUAGCACCUUUUGGGCUCUAAUGGUUGGUUGUUGGUUUGCCUCAGUUUAUAUUGUAUGCCAGUUGAUGGAAGAUCUGAAGUGGCUGUGGUAUGAAAACAGGAUAUAUGUAUUAGGCUAUGUCUUGAUAGUUGGAUUUUUCAGCUUUGUUGUUUGUUACAAGCAUGGGCCCCUUGCAGACGACAGGAGCAGAAGUCUUCUGAUGUGGAUGCUGCGACUCCUCUCCCUGGUUCUGGUCUAUGCUGGUGUGGCCGUGCCUCAGUUUGCCUAUGCAGCCAUAAUCCUCCUCAUGUCCUCCUGGAGUCUGCACUACCCACUGAGAGCAUGCAGUUAUAUGAGGUGGAAAAUGGAGCAGUGGUUUACAUCAAAAGAGCUGGUGGUGAAAUAUCUUACGGAAGACGAGUACAGGGAGCAAGCUGAUGCUGAAACGAACAGUGCUCUGGAGGAGCUACGCCGGGCCUGCCGAAAACCCGACUUUCCCUCAUGGCUGGUCGUCUCCAGACUCCACACUCCUAGCAAAUAUGACUUGGGGCACUGGUACCUCUGAUUUUGAGAGUCCCACUGUUGAAAGGAAUCAUCCCUUCCAAGAAGCCUCCCAAGAUGUCUCCAGGUAUAAUUAGUCCUCCUGUCCCCCGCUGUUCCUCUGCUACACUCUUUGUUUCCAUUAGAGGACUCAUCACAGUCUGUUGCACACUGAAGACUGAGACCCUGGGAGACAACGGCCAUGUCUUCUUCCUCUUUGUACUCAAAAAGAGCCUGCCUUGCUCAGGCACUCCAUGAAUCCAUAACAUCAUUUAAUAUAAUCUUAUGUAAACUGAUAAAAUAUGAGGGCAAAAGGAAGCAUUACUCUCAUGAAAACAGUAUUUCUCAACAAGCUACUGUCAUUUUGGAUGGUGCAAUUCUUUAUUGUGUGGGAUCCACCAUUCACUGUGGGAUGUUUAAAAUCCCUGACGCUUGGGUGCUAAAUGCCAGUGUCUGAAACACUAAAAUUUGUCCUGUGCACAUUUUUAAAUGGCUCCUGUUGAGAACCAUGAGGUAAAUCUCUUAAAACAAUGGUUAUUCUGUUCCCAUUUCUCCAUAAAAUGUCUGUAUGUGUACUCAAUAUGGAAUCAAUUCAUAUCCAUAUUCACAUUAUAUUAAUACAAAAACAAACCAAGAAGGAGACAGACAGCAAAUCACGAACAAUGAUUAUCCUGGAAAUCUGCGAUGAUAGGGCCCUUCAUCGCCUAAGGAGUAUAUUUCUGUAGAUUUUGAGUUCGUAUAGUGAGUUAUGUACUUCCUAAUAAUCACAUAAUAAUAAAGAUUUAAGUGGUAGGGAAAAAAGUACUGUCAAAUUAGGCAUGGGAAAGGCAACCUUUAAAUUUUUAAAUUAAAAGACUUCUGCUCUCAGAUUGUUCUGAAAGUAUAUUAAGGUUCAUGUUCCACACUAAAAAAAAAAUUAAAACUGGUAGAAAUCAUAGAUUGUAGAUACUACAGUUUAAAUGUCUGUAUACCCUCCAAAAUUCAUAUGUUGAAACUAAUUCACCAAUGUGAUGAUAGUAUGAAGGAGGUGAUUAAGUCAUGAGAGUGGAGCCCUCAUGAGUGGGUAAAAGAGGUGUGAGGGAGCUGUUUCCCCCUUUUGCCCUUCUGCCUUCUGCCAUGAGAGAACACAGCAUUCAAGGUGCUAUCUGGGAGGCAGAGAACGAGGCCUUUACCAGUCACCGAACCUGCCAACACUUUGAUCUUGCACUUCCCAGCCUCCAGAACUGUUUGGCAUUUAAAGCAAGGUAAAAGACAUUGCAGAAUAUUAAGUAUAGUAUUGUAAUAUUUAUGUCAGAAAAAGGAAGUGACACAUACAGCUACAUACUUACAUAUGAACAGAAUAUCUCUAAAAGGAUACAACACUAGAACCUCAUAUAAUGGAUAGUCUCUAAGGAGAGGAAUUGGGGGACUGCCCAAGGGGUGGGAGAGAGACUUUACUAAAUACCUUUUGAAUGUUUUUCCAAGUGCAUGUCUACUUUCUCAAAGAAUGAACAGACAUCAAGUCACUGUGUUUCAUGCAGUAGAAACAGACCCAUUAAAUGAUGUGUGAUGUCUGACCCAUGGUUCUCAACCUGAAGGGAUCACUGUCUGGGUUUCUAUUUUGGCUUCAAAACCAUACAACAUUCUAGCUAAGUUCAUAUUUAAAUUAUUCCUUUCUUUUGAAACUCUUGGGAGAUUGGGUGUGGGUAAACCAUCUAGUUGUCCAAAGAGUUAAGAAAGACAUAGGAAAUAGUGUUGCCAUAAUCAUUUUCUUCCUGGACAAAGAAAUGGUGUUCUGUGUCAGACUUAACAAGAGUGCUUGUUUGCUUCAAGAGCUGCAUGGAUCAUCAGAAAGUCUACGUAACACAGUAGGAACAUCUGCAUCAAAAUUGCUGAUAUGAAGAAGAUUCUAUUAUAAAACAUCUUUCCUUGUCACCUUGUCUGGCACAACACUGCCUAGCUCUCAGUCCUCCCACUCGCAGGGAUGACAAAUGGACUCACUCGGCCACCAUCCCCACCUGUCUCUGUGUCUUGAUAUUCUUCAGCUCUCACCCAGCUCCAUCUCAUGCCUGGUCCAUUCCCUUUAAUAUGUGAUUGCAGCAUCACGUGCCUCUCCUCACAACACUUAUCUUGGUUGUAACAGUGCACCUACAACCUGACUGCAUUCUGCAUGCAGGGUGAGGACUUUCAUAUUAUGCUGGCUCAUUUUUAUCCCCAAUGCUUGACACAUACCAGGCACUCAGUAAAUAGUCCGGAACGGAAGAGAAAAUAUGAAUACUUCAAAUAGAAUAUCAAUUAACAAAUACUUAUUGAACAUACUCUAUGCUAAGUGCUAGGGAUAUACACUAUGCACAUAUUAUACAUGUGUGCAUACGCGAGUGUAUGUAUGAUUAAGAUAUCUGAUUAUGGUAUAGGAAUAAGUGAUGGGUAUGUGAAAGAAUGAAUGGACUUAAAAAAGAGGCCUAGAAAUAUAUUUAAAAAAUAGAUGUCUAUAUUCUGCAACAUUUUUGACUAACAUUAAUAGGCUAUGGUUGAAAAUAAAUAUUUUUAUUUAUGUGGACAAACAAUAAAUAGCUCAAUGAGUAGCUGAUUACAGUUUGUUUAUUUGGAGCAUCCUGACGCACUGUGCAAUGGAACUUCAGCACAUGCUCUGAGCAGAUAACAGGGUUCUGCUCACCACAAGCCUAUCUCACCAGAAGAGUAAGAGCUAGGAUAUAAGCCACAAAGCUCAGAGUCAGUGGUAGUCCCACAGCAUAGCUGAAGGGACCACCAAGGAGAUCCUGGGAGCCACCAAGCUUCUAUCAGCCAGCAGGUAUGACUGGCCACUGACCCAUCCUUGUAGAACAGAGCAUAAGAAUCACAUUGUAUGUCAGAGAGUGAAUUAGAAAUAAUAUUUAGCUGUGUAUAUUUUCUGCAGCUACUAAUACUUCCUUCUAUUGUUUCUGCUAGAAAGAGAAAAGGUAAAAGUAAUUUGGGUCUGAGUCUCUACUAGCUGGAAAUCAUUUUGUUGUGUUCAGAUUCUUCCCUCUAAAAUGACUGAUAAGCUAAGAGUGUAACUAUGGUCACCAUCAGCAGGAUCACUGUGCUGGUCACUGUGCUGUGACCAUGUUUAUAUCUCUCCAUUGUUAUUUUAGUUUAUCUGUUUUUUUCUUAAGUUGUGUGUAUCUCCAGGUAGAAAACUAGAGAUGUUUAAAACAAAAGAGAACCUUGAUUAAUGGAACCCAACCACUUAGAAGACACAAUAUGCUGUUUUGUUGUUAUAUUUUUCUGUUUAGUCAAAUGACUGAACAUAUUCACACACACACCCCCUACAAUUUUGUUUAAAAAUUUCCUAGGAUAUGGCUUAAGGUAUACAUAUGACACAAACACUAUAAUUUCCUGAGAAGAAUCACUGACAUUUGGCAUAGCCGUUAAUUUUAAAAAGGCCUCAAGAGUUUUACUUGACCCUAAGCUAAAUUUGACGAAGCUGAACAAGUUCAUCGAAACUCAGGUUGAAGCAAUGUCAUGACCAAAUCAAAAGCAGAUACUAAUCCUGCUGUUCCUGACUGUGGUGAGACACAGCAGGAAUGGGUACAGUUAAGGGCAUCACAUCUUAAGAGAUCACUGACGAAAACAAAAGAGAAAGGAGCCACAAUAUGGAGGGAGGAAAAAAGGAGUCUUGGAUAGGAUGUUCUGGGAGAAACCCCUAGGGAGUUGGAGAAGCAAAGCUGCAGGUGAGACUCAAGGAUGGGAAGGGCUUUUCUACUGAAGAGGGGAUGGACCCACUCUCUACGUCAGACUUGGGAGCAGUCAGUACAACAGAUGUUCUUGUUUUACCUUCUGCUAAGCAGAAACUAAGCAUGAUUCUCUGUUCUCAGCUGAACUUGAUCCUAGAGCUGCCUGGGACCUCUGGCGCAGGCCUUAUGAGUAAGCCUGCCCAAAAGGAGACAGAGCUAAUAGAGGGAGAGAUGCAGGUUCUGAUCGCGUCAUCUGAGACCUGGUUAAAGCUACACCUCUGGUCAUUUGCUGGACUUCUCAAUUGGACAAUACAGUCCCCAUUUUACUUAAGCUUCUCUGGCUGAUGAAACCAAGGCCCUGAAAGGUUCACCAAGUUGCCAGGGUCGUGCAGAUCAACAAACUGCAGAAGCAAGACUCAACCAGGUCUUCUGCUGUCAAAUCCUGUGCCCUUCCCAUGGCCAGCAGAGCCUCCCCCAGCUGGAUCAGAAACCUUUCAGGGAAAUUUAGAAGGUGCUUUCUUUCAUACACACAAAAAGUAGUGAUCACUUAACCUUAAAAUCUUGUUUCACAAAGAUGUUGUAAUAUUAUACCUAUACUUAAAACGUUAGAUUUCUAAUAAAAUUUAAUUAAUAGAGCUAUGAAUAACUUAAUAGUAAUAAUGAAAGUCAUAGUAAUUAAUAGUAACUUAAUAAAUAGCAAUAAAAUAGCAAUGAUACUAGUCUCUAUUUUGAUGAUACCAAUAUUAGUGUCUAAUGUAUACAAAAGAGCAUGGGAUUAUAAACUAGACAACCUGGGCUAAAGUCUCCAACUCCACCACUCAGAAGGGACUUUGGGCAAAAAGCAAAUCUGUUCCUUUCCAGGCUUGCAUGGUGGAUCUGCUUACCAACACACAUAUACAUAUACAUAUACAUUAUACAUAUACAUAUACAUAUACAUAUACAUAUACAUAUACAUAUACAUAUACAUAUACAUAUACAUACAGAAACCAGGAACACAUAUACAUACAGAAAAAUACAAGUUUGCCGUUGCCGGACUCACUCCUACCAUCAUCCCACUAUGUUAGGCCAUAGGUCCCUAUUCUAGUGUCUUCUGACUCUUAGAAUCUUUGGGGAUCCCAUCCCUCUAUACCUGCCUCAGGCUCUCCUUACUCUAUUUAGACACAUUAUUAAUUUGCUCGGGCUGCCAUGACAAUAUGCCAUAAACUGGUGGGUUAAGCAAUAGACAUUUAUUUCUUAUAGUUCUGGAGCUGGAAAUCUGAGAAUAGGAUACCAGCAUGUCUGGGUUCUGGUGAGGGGUCUCUUCCUGGCUUGUAGAUGACCACCUUCUUACAGUGUCCUCAUAUGGUAGAGGGAGGGCGGCAGAGGGGAAGAGGGAAGGGUAAAGAAAGAGAAAAAGAGUCGUACACAAGCAAGCUCUCUAGCAUGUAUUCUUGUAAGGGCACUAACCCCAUUAUGAGGGCCCCACUCUCAUGACCUCUAAACUUCAUUACCUCCCAAAGAUCCCAUCUCUAAAUAGCAUCACAUUGGGGGUCAGGACUUGAAUAUAUAAAGGAGGUGGGGGACACCAUUCAGUCCAUAGAAAAAUGCUUCUUAUCUCUAUCUUUAAUACCUUCACUCUCUAACACAAUUGGAAACCUCCCCAGGGGCUCCAUGAACCGUGGCUGCAGGCUCUCAGGUACUCUAUCCCAGGACCACAAGGAGUUAAUUUGAUAUUUCCACCAAUGGAGGGUAUCAGGCUCUCAUUAAGCCAUUGUAAAAUGGAUGUAAUAAAACAACUGUUUUCUAAGAUUACUGUAACAAUAAAAAUAUUUGUUAAAACUA
Molecule: RNA transcript, 6716 nt
Organism: Homo sapiens (human)
Lineage: Eukaryota; Metazoa; Chordata; Mammalia; Primates; Hominidae
Gene: NEMP2
Gene name: nuclear envelope integral membrane protein 2
Exons: 10
Source: RefSeq, marked validated